ACGUUUAUUUGGAUGAUGUCUCUGGACAGGAGGAAACUUCAGUGCAGUUCCAGACCCCUGUAACAUUCCUCUGGAUUUUUUCUGCAACCGAAUAUUUGCUUCUGAUCCUGAAAUGGAGCAAGUAGUCCUGCUGACACUGGUUGGGAUGGAUGCUAUCAACAGUGCUGGAGAACUCCUAUGCCAGAUCCUUCUUCCUGGGAGCAAUAAUCAGUAUCAGAAUGCAGAAGAACCUGAUUCAGGGUUUGAGCUUCUAGGUCUCAAGUGGUUGCCCCGUCUCACUCGACAUCAGGCAAAAGAAGUAACUCCUUUUGAGGUUGGAGAUGCUUCCUGGUGGAGAAGCCUUGAUACACUGAUGUCUAAUCCAGUCCUUGUGUGUGCGUUACGGCGGAUCAAUGCCUUCCAAGUCCUUCAAGAUGCAUUAAAGAGAUUAACACAGUGCAGGGAGGAGCUAAGCGAGAGUGACAGUGCUCUGCAGAGAGUAAUGGCCUUGACCCCAGAGGUAACGUUCAGACAAGCCAUCCUUUUCUUCACAGAGAAGGAUCUUGUAGCUGAUCCAGAGCACCGCCCUACUGCCAAAUACCUGCCACCACCUGGCAAGACAUCCAGGGCUGGAGUGGAAGAGACCCAGAGAUGCCAUGCAGAAUCACUGUUUGCCUACUUGCAUGCAGGAGCCCAGAUUCUCUGCACGGUGCUGCUGAUCAAACCUGGUGCCUGGAGCCAUCAUCUUGCAAGGAUCCUCCGAAAGCUCAACCUAGAAAAGUUCUCUGUGGUUGGGAUGAAACACGUACACCUGGAGCCAGGCAUCGCCUUAGGGCUCCUUUCUUCUGAAGCAAAGCAGGUUUGUUAAGAACCUGGCCAU
This 859-nucleotide long non-coding RNA is filed under the name Chrysolophus pictus (golden pheasant). RNAcentral's name for it is "lncRNA (ENSCPIG00010009485.1)". The record is from RNAcentral. Lineage: Eukaryota; Metazoa; Chordata; Aves; Galliformes; Phasianidae.